Molecule: ribosomal RNA, 207 nt
Filed under: uncultured bacterium
Lineage: Bacteria
Description: partial 16S ribosomal RNA
Rfam family: Bacterial small subunit ribosomal RNA
Source: RNAcentral
CGCGUAGGCGGUUAAAUAAGUCAGAUGUGAAAGCCCCGGGCUCAACCUGGGAACUGCAUUUGAAACUGUUUAGCUAGAGUGUGGUAGAGGAGAGUGGAAUUUCAGGUGUAGCGGUGAAAUGCGUAGAUAUCUGAAGGAACAUCAGUGGCGAAGGCGGCUCUCUGGACCAACACUGACGCUGAGGUGCGAAAGCGUGGGUAGCAAACA